RNAcentral lists this ribosomal RNA (468 nucleotides) under uncultured bacterium. Its description in RNAcentral is "partial 16S ribosomal RNA". It matches the Rfam family "Bacterial small subunit ribosomal RNA", at positions 28 to 507 of the family's 1533-position model. The record is from RNAcentral.
GACGAACGCUGGCGGCGUGCUUAACACAUGCAAGUCGAACGGAAAUUCCCUGCUUUUGUGGGGUUCUCGAGUGGCGAACGGGUGAGUAACACGUGAGUAACCUGCCCUUGACUUUGGGAUAACUUCAGGAAACUGGUGCUAAUACCGGAUAGGUGCUCCUGCUGCAUGGUGGGGGUUGGAACGUUUCGGCGGUUGGGGAUGGACUCGCGGCUUAUCAGCUUGUUGGUGGGGUAGUGGCUUACCAAGGCUUUGACGGGUAGCCGGCCUGAGAGGGUGACCGGCCACAUUGGGACUGAGAUACGGCCCAGACUCCUACGGGAGGCAGCAGUGGGGAAUAUUGCACAAUGGGCGGAAGCCUGAUGCAGCAACGCCGCGUGCGGGAUGACGGCCUUCGGGUUGUAAACCGCUUUCGCCUGUGACGAAGCGUGAGUGACGGUAAUGGGUAAAGAAGCACCGGCUAACUACGUG